GUCUUGCAGGCUGGGGUCCCAGGUGAGAGAUGCCAGCAGGGAGCUCUAGAUGGGGAACUGGGUGAGCCUGGCUCGGUAAGGGCGUGCUCAGAACACCCCAUCCCCGAACACGGUCUUGUGUGAUAAAAUGUCACGCAAGAAGAAUCUGAAACCGCGAGAAGAGGAGGACACGGCCAGACUGCACCGAACCCCGGCACCUCUGUGGGGAAAAGCAGGUCAGGCUGAGCGGGGCCGGCGGGGACACGCGCUCCUGGGCUUCUCCAGAGUCUGCCGGGGCCGGGCCCGGGACCGAGGCUGGGACGCGCUGUGCAGUCCCACCCCUCACACCCCUCGCACGCCUGGAAACACCCUCGGGGUAACACAAGCCGGGGUUGAGUUUCUUGAAGAGAAGCUGGCUGCAUCCUGGAGCCAGGGAAAGAGGAGCACAGGGGCCAAGCGGUCCAGGGCCACGGAGGAGCAGGACCCCUGGGGAAAGGCCCGGGUCUAGGCCGGGGCCAGGGGACCGUGGUGGAGACCUCAAAAAUGGCAGAACACGGAAGCAGGGCGAGAAAAGUAAACGUAGUCCUUGCGGCAGUUUGAAAUACACGCGGGUAAACGCUGGGUGACUCCGCCCGGAUGCAGAGUGGGGGUCUGUGUCUCUCCCCACAGGCUGCAGGGACCGGGCUCUGGGUAACCAGCAGAAGGUAACAGAACGAGGCUGCUUUUCCUCCAGGCUGUUCUGGUGUCCGCGCGUGGCUUGUGCGCUGACUCCUGACUUGGAGCGCCGCGUGGCCAGAGAAAUCUGGGUGCCUCCAGGCCACCAUGGUGAGAGGAGAGGCCACCGCACGAACGGAAGAAGCGAUGGAGACGGUCUUUACGACCUAAGAACAGAAAGAGUUUCUUAUACACAAUCCGAAAAGUAAAAAUUGAUUGAUUGAUUGAUUGAGAUGGAAUCCCACUCUGUCGUCCAGGUUAGAGUGCAAUGGCUUGAUCUCGGCUCAUUGCAACCUCCGCCUCCCGGGUUCAAGCGAUUCUCCUGCCUCAGUCUCCCGAGUAGCUGGGAUUAUAGGCGCCCGCCACCACGACUGGCUAAUUUUUAUAUUUUUAGUAGAGACGCAGUUUCACCGUGUUGACCAGGCUGGUCUUGAACCCCUGACCUCAGGUGAUCCGCCUGCCUCGGUCUCCCAAAGUGCUGGGAUUACAGGCGUGAGCCACCGUGCUGGGCCAAAAAUCAAUUUUAAAACGACCACAUGAAAAAUAAAUCUCCUGUAUCACAGAGCAUGUUCUGAGGAAAAUGAAAGCCACAGAUCCAGAAGAUAUUUGUGACACAUAUGAAAAACAAAAACUCAUAUUCAAAACAUACACAGCAUUGCUAUGAAUCAUUAAGAAAAAUGAUUUCGUCUCCUCUACAGGAGCCUGAGUGAAGGACAAGGACAGAUCAUUAUAAACCAGGGAGCUUGAAGAGCUAGUUAACAAGCACAGAAAAUAUGUUCCCCCACACUGUUAAUCAAGAAAAUUAAAACUGUAAUGAGAUGCCGCAUUGUAUCCAUGGGAUUUCUAAAAGUACAAAGUUCCACAAUACCCGUUGUUGACGGAGCAGGGAAACCGCAGGAGCCUGCAGGAGAUGAGAUUGUAAAUGUGCAAGGACAUUUUGGAGAAGAGUUGACAACAUCUCACUCACGUGUAUCAAGCCAAGUGCCGAAAGAAGAAUUGGUUGUCAUAAAGAAAACAGAAACCCAGAAUGGAUGUAGCUUAUCCCUCCGAUGGAAAGUUACAAAGAAGUUAAAAUGAAUGGGCUGCAUCUCUGUGUAACAAUUUGGAUCAAUAUCAAAGACACAUUUGUUAAAGCAAGGUGUACAAUGAAACCUGCAACAUGAUUUGUCUGUUUAGUAAAACACAGAAAAUCUAACUCCGCCUGGCUUACGAACACACACAUGUGUUAGAAUUUGGGAAAAGGAAAGGGAGGGAGGCCGGCUACACGUGAACUUUUGGAAAAUCUCAGAGGGUCUGGGGCACCAGGUGGAGACCAUGGCAGCCUUCAGGGAUAUGAGGUCAAAUGAGAUGCUGCCUUUCCACCAGAUAAAGAUUUACCUGGUGCCUCUGUUACUGCCCAGCAGCGCCUGAGGACGUGGGGGCUGCUGCCCAACACGGAGGCUGGGCUGGCCUGGUCCGUGGGCUCAGGUUCUCAUCCUCUGCACGUGCAUCUGCCUCCUGUGCGUCUCUGUGCACACGCUUGUAUCUGGAUGCAGAGUCCUGUGCCCAGUGUACAUGCACAGAUGUGCGCAUCUGGGUAGAUGUGCUGGUUCGCUGUGUGAGCAUGCACAGACCCUUGUUCACCGUGUGUGCGCAUCCGUGCAGUGUGGACAUCUGGACAGGACCCCGUGCUCCCUGUCUCUGCCGCUGAGAUGUUUCCUAGCUGUGCACAGAAUUCACUCUCCUACUGGAGGGCUCUGACUGAAAGCUCUGAUGCGGCAGGCCUUCUCUUGACACUUGGUUAAGAAGGAUGUGUUUGCUUCCCCUUCUGCCAUGAUUGGAAGUUUCCUGAGACCCCUCCAGCCAUGCUGAACUGAUUUCCUGAAGACACCAUCCCAGUCAAGUGGUCUGCCUCAUACUGAGCCACCAGACCACCCAGCAUGUCCUCACCCGCGUGGACAGAUGACAGGGGGCUCUGAGCAUGCCCCAGUGCACCUUACGCACCUGUGAAGGUUGGGAGCCUGAGUGCAGCUCCUGUGGCACUGCCCGUGGCCAGGGAGAUGCCUCCUCAGUGCUCCUGACCCUCGGUGGAGGACCGGCCAGCGUGUGUGCCGACAGUGUGUCCACACAGGUGUGCUGCGCCCAAUGGGCAAGUCGGAAACAAAGGAAAAUGCUCUCUGAAGGAAAAGGCAAAGCAAUUUGGAUUUCUGCGAGAAAAUGAGACUGCAUGUGGCACUGGACACUACACAGGCCCGUGACCAUCACACGCCCAGCCUGGCCCCGUGCUGUGCCUGAGCAGAGGACUGUUGGCAGAUGGUUCACUUCCACCCUCCAUGAUAAAUGCUGAGAAAAGAAAGAUCAAGGGCUUCAGAGCCCACUGGAGGGAAUUCAUACAGCCGGGGGCCCAGGAAGCUGCUAAGGAAACUGCCUGGACGGCAGGGUGGCCGUGACCACGGGGACGGGGAGAAGGACCCAGAGGAGCUGAGGAAUCCUUGCUGUGGAAGGCACCAUAUGAGCUGCGUGAAGUCAGAGUCAAAAGCAAACCCGUCUCUUCUUGACAGUGGGACCCAGGAGGCAGGACAACCUGCCAGAGAGGCUGAAGGAGGUUCCCUCAGGCUGGAUCCUCGACAAGAAAAAGGAAGAGGGUCUGCCUGAUUCCCUCGCCAACAACAGCUGGUCUUCCAGAAGUCAGCAAUCUCUUGUCCCUUGUCUUCAAAAGCCCAUGGAGCUGGAGGCAGGCAGCUGAGGUCAGGAAGAGAAGGUGCGACCCAGUCCAGGAAGGCUGAGUCCUCGUGAACCCUCAGGGCUGGGGUGAGGGGCCAGUGCCCGGCCCAGACACCAGCACAGCCCUGCAGUGGGAGUUGAUCUCAGCAGAUGGACGGGCACCGCCCAGAGGAUGGACUGGUCAGCACCGCCCGGAGGAUGGACCGCUCAGCACCGCAGUGGCCGCUUGGCCUAAUUUGCCACCUGAAGAGCCGCCAGGUCUCCAGUGACUCUAGCACCAUGGACAGGAGAGGAGCAGGGUGACCUGAGGGUACAGAGAAGGUUCUGCUGUAAUCAAGUUCCCCUGCCUGGUCAGAGGGCUCAGAGGUUUGAGAGGGGAGGGAUUUCCUUUUAAAGCUGCAGGAUCCCUGUGGGUCCAGAAAGAAACACAGCCAUGGCGGGCAUCCCAUGGAGGGUAGUGACCAGGAGCAGGACAAAGGUGGAAGGUGGGUGGAGCCCCCACAUGGGCCUCAGGUCACAUUGGACAUUUCCUCAGCAAGUGUCACCUGGGUGGUGACGAAUGGGGGAGGAGAACAGAUGGAAUGCGGAGAGUAGCAGUGUGAAGCUGCACCGCCUGGUCACCACUCGAGAUACACAGGGUUUGCUCUGCCUGAGGAGCACACGCUGGCUGCAGACACGGGGCAACCACGUGAGAAAGGUCAGACCCAGGCCCACUCGCCUUCCAUAUGCAUCUUAGGGACGGGGAUGCCUGCGCCAGCAGCAGCCUUGCUGCCCCUGCGUCCCCCAGUGCACCUGCCAGGGCAAAGCCAACAGGCAGUGCCAAGGACCUGAGGGAGGAGGUGGGCUUGACUUCGAGGCAGGGCACAGACACCAGACCACGUGGAGGAGCAGCUGAAACAGGGCCGGUGGCAGCAGCCGCCUGUGAGACGUGCCAGCCGGUGAGCCUUGUUAGUUUACCAUUGCCACGGCAAGACCCAGAAGUUACUGCCACUUCCCACGGUAAAAUCCCAAUGACCCUGAGGUUUCUGCUCCUUUUCUAGAAAUUUCUGCAUAAACCAACCCCUAAUUAGCAUGUAGUUAAAAGUGGGUGUAAUUAUGAUGCGGAGCUGCCUCUGAGCUGCUCUUCUGUGCACUCUGCUGUCCUGGGGCAGCCCCUCUGCUGCCGCUGCAAUAAAAGCUGCUAACAGCA
RNAcentral lists this long non-coding RNA (4585 nucleotides) under Homo sapiens (human). RNAcentral's name for it is "neuronal hypoxia inducible, placenta associated, transcript variant 8 (NHIP)". Lineage: Eukaryota; Metazoa; Chordata; Mammalia; Primates; Hominidae. The record is from RNAcentral.